Molecule: small RNA, 675 nt
Filed under: Rattus norvegicus (Norway rat)
Lineage: Eukaryota; Metazoa; Chordata; Mammalia; Rodentia; Muridae
Description: uncharacterized LOC102551138
Source: RNAcentral
CAGCUGUGCCUGCUGAUACAGGGAGUUGUGUGUUACUGAGAGUACGCACAGAAGCUUUCCCUGCUGAUGCCUGCUCAAAUUAUGGGUCCAUCCAAUUGUGUGUUCACAGCUUUAGGAAAAGAAGGAGCUGCUUCCUGUCCUUUACAUCCAACAGCGUGGGAGACGUUCUCAUUUCAGCCUUUUGAGGCACGGAGGACCCAAACAACCCAUAUUACUUUGAUUUGAUGACGACUGGACUUCAACUUUUAAAAGCAACAAGGUUCACUACGCUAUCACGGCUGGCCUGAGAUUGACUUAGUAGACAAGACUGGCCGUGAAGUCACAGAUUUGUUUGCCUCUGUUUUACAGGUCUUUGGAACAAAGGGCUGGGGAUGAACCCAGGGCCUCUCAGAUGCUAGACAUGUGCUCCACUCCUGAGAUGCACUCCCUACCCCCUCAAUGGAGCAUCAGAGGUAGUGCUCCAUAUCUGUGGUUGUGGCUGGCUGUGGCUCAGUGACUCUUUGUAGGACCCCAACUGCCUCACUGGAGUGGAUCAGUCGCACUUGCACCUGGGCCCAUCCAGCCCAGAGCAGGGGGAAGGACAAGAGGAAUCCAGGAGAGAACAUUGAAUCCUGUGAAACUCAAAACUCAAGAUACAAAUGGUUGUGGCCUGCCAUAUGGUUGCUAGGAACUGAA